Molecule: ribosomal RNA, 253 nt
Filed under: uncultured bacterium
Lineage: Bacteria
Description: partial 16S ribosomal RNA
Rfam family: Bacterial small subunit ribosomal RNA
Source: RNAcentral
UACGGAGGGUGCAAGCGUUGCUCGGAAUCACUGGGCGUAAAGCGACCGCAGGCGGCCUGACAAGUCGGAUGUGAAAGCCCUGGGCUCAACUCAGGAAUUGCAUUCGAAACUGGCAGGCUUGAGGACGGUAGAGGCGUGUGGAAUUCCGGGUGUAGUGGUGAAAUGCGUAGAGAUCCGGAGGAACACCAGUGGCGAAGGCGACACGCUGGGCCGUACCUGACACUGAUGCGCGACAGCAUGGGGAGCAAACAGG